RNAcentral lists this non-coding RNA (29 nucleotides) under Mus musculus (house mouse). Lineage: Eukaryota; Metazoa; Chordata; Mammalia; Rodentia; Muridae. The record is from RNAcentral.
UGAUUUGUUCAACAAAGCCAAUUUUUGUG